RNAcentral lists this long non-coding RNA (407 nucleotides) under Homo sapiens (human). RNAcentral's name for it is "non-protein coding lnc-GTPBP4-3:2". Lineage: Eukaryota; Metazoa; Chordata; Mammalia; Primates; Hominidae. The record is from RNAcentral.
GACUGUGCCACUGCACUCCAGCCUGGGAAACAGGUGAGACUCCACCUCAAAAAAAAAAACAAAUCAUGCCAGACAGAAGUCCACCCAAAAAACCCCUCAUCCCACCCCCAGGACCCAGGCCCCGACCCUGGCCACCCAGGACAAACUCCCACCCCACACCCGGGACCAAGGCCCCGGCCCUGCCCCGAAGGCCCCACCGGGGACCCAGGCCCCGGCCCUGCCCCAAACUCCCACCCCACACCCGGGACCAAGGCCCCGGCCCUGCCCCGAACGCCCCACCCGGGACCCAGGCCCCGGCCCUGCCCCAAACUCCCACCCCACACCCGGGACCAAGGCCCCGGCACUGCCCCGAACGCCCCACCAGGGACCCAGGCCCCAGCCCUGUCCCGAACUCCCGCCCCACACCU